UAUUGGACACGUGUCUCUCUCUCUCGUGCAGCGUUGUUUCUUCGGUACGUUUAUUCCUUCUCCAUCUCUAUCGCUCCGAUUCCCAUUUCUCUGUCGCGAUCCGGAUCCAUUCGGCUCUGUCAUUUUCCCAGAUCUGUUGUGUUCCUUUCGAUUUCUUCGAACGAGUAGACGUGUUUUCUUGUUGAUUCUCUAGAUCAGAGUCUGUCGAACCAUCGAUCAAUGAUUCUCCGUCAUUAGAUAUAUUUUGUUC
RNAcentral lists this long non-coding RNA (250 nucleotides) under Brassica napus (rape). RNAcentral describes it as "long non-coding RNA (BNAP_LNC018975)". The record is from RNAcentral. Lineage: Eukaryota; Viridiplantae; Streptophyta; Magnoliopsida; Brassicales; Brassicaceae.